GACGAACGCUGGCGGCGUGCCUAAUACAUGCAAGUAGGACGCAGUUGCGAACGGGAGAGUAACGCGUAGGCAAAUACCUAUUAGAGGGGGAUAACAACUGGAAACGAUAGCUAAUACCGCAUACUAGUAGAUGGACCUGCGUUGUAUUAGCUAGUAGGUAGGGUAAUGGGCUACCUAGGCAACGAUACAUAGACGACCUGUGAGGGGGAACGGCCACCCAGGGACUGGGACACGGCCCAGACUCCUACUGGAGGCAACAGUAGGGAAUCUUCGGCAAUGGGGGGAACCCUGACCGAGCAACGCCGCGGGGGUUAAGAAGGUUUUCCGAUCGUAAAGCUCUGUUGUUAAGGAAGCGGUACUUAACCAGAAAGGGACGGCUAACUACGUGCCAGCAGCCGCGGUAAUAC
This 407-nucleotide ribosomal RNA is filed under the name uncultured bacterium. Its description in RNAcentral is "partial 16S ribosomal RNA". It matches the Rfam family "Bacterial small subunit ribosomal RNA", at positions 28 to 526 of the family's 1533-position model. The record is from RNAcentral.